AGUGAACGCUGGCGGUAGGCCUAACACAUGCAAGUCGAACGGCAGCACAGUAAGAGCUUGCUCUUACGGGUGGCGAGUGGCGGACGGGUGAGGCAUACAUCGGAAUCUACUUUUUCGUGGGGGAUAACGUAGGGCCACUUACGCUAAUACCGCAUACGACCUACGGGUGAAAGCAGGGGAUCUUCGCACCUUUCGCGAUUGUAUGAGCCGAUGUCGGAUUAGCUAGUUGGCAGGGUAAAGGCCCACCAAGGCGACGAUCCGUAGCUGGUCUGAGAGGAUGAUCAGCCACACUGGAACUGAGACACGGUCCAGACUCCUACGGGAGGCAGCAGUGGGGAAUAUUGGACAAUGGGCGCAAGCCUGAUCCAGCCAUACCGCGUGGGUGAAGAAGGCCUUCGGGUUGUAAAGCCCUUUUGUUGGGAAAGAAAAGCAGCAGGUUAAUACCCCGCUGUUCUGACGGUACCCAAAGAAUAAGCACCGGCUAACUUCGUG
Molecule: ribosomal RNA, 492 nt
Filed under: uncultured bacterium
Lineage: Bacteria
Description: partial 16S ribosomal RNA
Rfam family: Bacterial small subunit ribosomal RNA
Source: RNAcentral